RNAcentral lists this ribosomal RNA (805 nucleotides) under Xiphinema adenohystherum. Its description in RNAcentral is "eukaryotic LSU rRNA". It matches the Rfam family "Eukaryotic large subunit ribosomal RNA", at positions 361 to 939 of the family's 3401-position model. Lineage: Eukaryota; Metazoa; Nematoda; Enoplea; Dorylaimida; Longidoridae. The record is from RNAcentral.
AAGUUGAAAAGAACUUUGAAGAGAGAGUUCAAAAGGGCGUGAAACCGCUUAGAAUAAAACGGACGGAGCCGUCUGUGGCCCGUCGGAAUCAGUCGAAUCGACGCGCGAAAGCGAGUACGACGCGUAAACGGAACGAAAGUCCGGUCGUCUCGUAGUAUAAAAAGUAGCGCUCGUUCGAUGCAUUUCCGAAGGGUAAGCGCCGCGACCGAUGUCUAAGGCUAGUGAAACUGGGGGAUUGAGGUUGAGCUCGUUCGCGAGUCUCGUUACCAGUCCUUCGGUUCGAAUAGAAUUCGCUAGACCCUGAUAUCGAGAAUAAGACAGCGAACGUCGGUGAAAUAUAUACGCUCACCGGUUACGACGGACGUACGGCCAUUCGAUCGUCGCCUGCUCGCAGGUUACGGUUAGUAAUCCGGUUCGUAUCCGAAGUCGUCGGUGACGUUUCGACGUUCGGGCGUCCGCGGCGUCCGAGUCGGUCACCCGUCCGACCCGUCUUGAAACACGGACCAAGGAGUCUAACGUAAGCGCGAGCUAAUGGGCGGAAAACCCAUAAGCGAAAUAAAAGUAAAAGCCGUUUCGGACGGCUGAGGUACGAUCCCGAAGAACGAAAGUAUCUACGGGCGCAGUACCGUCCCGUCCCGACCGCUUGUCGGUAGGGCGGAGAUAGAGUGCAUACGUUGGGACCCGAAAGAUGGUGAACUAUGCCUGAGCAGAGCGAAGCCAGAGGAAACUCUGGUGGAGGUUCGUAGCGGUUCUGACGUGCAAAUCGAUCGUCAGACUUGGGUAUAGGGGCGAAAGACUAAUCGAA